This 387-nucleotide ribosomal RNA is filed under the name Chlorothrix sp. (in: green algae). RNAcentral describes it as "Chlorothrix sp. partial small subunit ribosomal RNA". It matches the Rfam family "Eukaryotic small subunit ribosomal RNA", at positions 582 to 975 of the family's 1831-position model. The record is from RNAcentral. Lineage: Eukaryota; Viridiplantae; Chlorophyta; Ulvophyceae; Ulotrichales; Ulotrichaceae.
AUUCCAGCUCCAAUAGCGUAUAUUUAAGUUGUUGCAGUUAAAAAGCUCGUAGUUGGAUUUCGGGUGGGUACCGCCGGUCUCCCACUGGGUAUGUACUGGCGUGGCCCGCCUUGCUGUCGGGGACGAUCUCCUGGGCUUUACUGUCCGGGAAUCGGAGUCGACGAUGUUACUUUGAGUAAAUUAGAGUGUUCAAAGCAAGCCUACGCUCUGAAUAUAAUAGCAUGGGAUAACGCGACAGGACUCUGGCCUAUCGUGUUGGUCUGUAGGACCGGAGUAAUGAUUAAGAGGGACAGUCGGGGGCAUUCGUAUUCCAUUGUCGGAGGUGAAAUUCUUGGAUUUAUGGAAGACGAACAUCUGCGAAAGCAUUUGUCAAGGAUGUUUUCAUUG